This 484-nucleotide ribosomal RNA is filed under the name uncultured bacterium. RNAcentral's name for it is "bacterial SSU rRNA". It matches the Rfam family "Bacterial small subunit ribosomal RNA", at positions 15 to 507 of the family's 1533-position model. The record is from RNAcentral.
GAUCAUGGCUCGAGGACGAACGCUGGCGGCGUGCUUAACACAUGCAAGUCGAACGAUGAAAGCGGGAGCUUGCUCCUGCUGGAUUAGUGGCGAACGGGUGAGUAACACGUGAGCAAUCUGCCCCGAACUCUGGGAUAAGCGUUGGAAACGACGUCUAAUACCGGAUACGACGCGCGAAGGCAUCUUCUGCGCGUGGAAAGAAUUUCGGUUCGGGAUGAGCUCGCGGCCUAUCAGCUAGUUGGUGAGGUAAUGGGCUCACCAAGGCGACGACGGGUAGCCGGCCUGAGAGGGUGACCGGCCACACUGGGACUGAGACACGGCCCAGACUCCUACGGGAGGCAGCAGUGGGGAAUAUUGCACAAUGGGCGCAAGCCUGAUGCAGCAACGCCGCGUGAGGGACGACGGCCUUCGGGUUGUAAACCUCUUUUAGUAGGGAAGAAGCGAAAGUGACGGUACCUGCAGAAAAGCACCGGCUAACUACGUG